CGGCGGACGGGUGAGUAACACGUGGAUAACCUACCUAUAAGACUGGGAUAACUUCGGGAAACCGGAGCUAAUACCGGAUAAUAUAUUGAACCGCAUGGUUCAAUAGUGAAAGACGGUUUUGCUGUCACUUGUAGAUGGAUCCGCGCCGCAUUAGCUAGUUGGUAAGGUAACGGCUUACCAAGGCGACGAUGCGUAGCCGAACUGAGAGGGUGAUCGGCCACACUGGAACUGAGACACGGUCCAG
RNAcentral lists this ribosomal RNA (244 nucleotides) under uncultured Staphylococcus sp. RNAcentral describes it as "partial 16S ribosomal RNA". It matches the Rfam family "Bacterial small subunit ribosomal RNA", at positions 96 to 334 of the family's 1533-position model. The record is from RNAcentral. Lineage: Bacteria; Bacillati; Bacillota; Bacilli; Caryophanales; Staphylococcaceae.